AUGAAAUUUGAAACGAGUAAUACAACUUUCAGCAACGGAUCUCUUGGCUCUCGCGAAUUGCAGAUUUCCGUGAAUCAUCGAAUCUUUGAACGCACCUUGCGCUCCUUGGUAUUCCGAGGAGCAUGCCUGUUUGAGUGUCAUCGA
RNAcentral lists this ribosomal RNA (144 nucleotides) under Pisolithus marmoratus. RNAcentral's name for it is "5.8S ribosomal RNA". The stretch from base 24 to 140 matches the Rfam family "5.8S ribosomal RNA". From Rfam's summary of the family: 5.8S ribosomal RNA (5.8S rRNA) is a component of the large subunit of the eukaryotic ribosome. It is transcribed by RNA polymerase I as part of the 45S precursor that also contains 18S and 28S rRNA. The record is from RNAcentral. Lineage: Eukaryota; Fungi; Basidiomycota; Agaricomycetes; Boletales; Pisolithaceae.